UUUCUCACAGAAAGCAGCCACGUGCAGCCGACUGCACGGCCUGCUGUGUUAAUGGCUGGGAUGCACAGGGCUGCAGCGCUGGCGUUCUGCUGGAUCUGCUCUUCCUUCCCACAGUGACAGCGGAACGCGGCAGAAAGCGCAGCGAGGCGGCAGAGCAGCAAGGAGCUGACGUACAGAGCGCGGAGAUUGUGGCGAUCUGGGAUGCUGUGUCUGAUUACAUCCUGGAACAGAUGAAGCUGGACAAGGGAGUCCUGGUCCCGGGACUCGGGCUCUUUGCUGCGGUCCGAGAGCAAUUCCACAGCAAAGAAGUGGCGGUGUCGGUCCGAAGACCUGUCUUCCAGCUGGACAUCGGGGUGCUGUGGCUGCAGGACCUCCAGUCGCCCACCGACAUCAUCCCCGACGAUGUCAAGAUUGAGCGGCUGAACUACCGGCAGCUCUCGCGAGCCACCGGCAUCUCGCUGCACGUGGUGCAGCGCUGCGUGCGAGAGACCGUCCUCUUGUACUGUCACCUCCUGAGGAACAAGGCGCACGUCUCAUUCGCCUUCAAGAACAUCGGCGUUCUGACGUACGAGGACGACUUCCUCUGCAUGAGGUUCUUGUACAGCUGCAUUAAAACGCUGGAUAGCAAUGCCAGCCUGACUGCACUGCUCCACAGUAGAAUUUGGCCGGCCCGUUCUGCUGACUUCGGGUCAGAGACCACCGCUCAUGGGAUCCAGGUGUUGCCGAGGUUUCAGCUCGCUGUGAAAAAGAGCAGAGCAGAGGCCGCCGCAGAAAGGAACGCUGCAGUGGCGCGGAAGAUGAGUAGAGGGGGCACUGCCGGCAGGCUGCUACAGAAGCGGAAGACACUUCCCCCCUCCAUGCUGCUGCAAUACCAGGCAGGCUCGAGGCAGCAAGAUGUGGCAAAGAAGCCUUCUGCCAGCGUGCUCCCUGCCGUGUGCAGGCAGCUCCCACGGGAGAAAGCAAGCAGGACAGAAGGAACCAUCUACUCCUGCCCAGACCAGCACUGCACUCCCUGCGACAGAGGACUCUAAGAGAGUGCUGCAGGAGCUCCGGGAAGUGUCUGCCCUGUGGAAUGAAGCAGACCGCACGUGGCCCGUGUACCAGCAGCAGCGGUUUGCCAGUGCGAGCGUGUGGGCUCCGCGUCCUCCAGCCCAGCCCCGGGGACAGCAAGUGGGGAGAAGGUGGAGGAAGGAUGUGGAUCCUCCGCCGGGAAGUAAAAUGGGAACAGCGACCAAGCUGGCACUGCAUGCCGACCUCCUCUCCCCGCGAGCAGCUCAGGUGCUCCAAAGGUUGGAGCCCCACCUCCAUCAGCAAGAGGCUUUUGCUGACACCGCGGAAAGAAACCGGCAGAAGCUGGAGCUGAAGCGGCAGCUCCCCUGUGCUCGAUGCUCGUACCGCUCCAGAGGGGAAGGUGCUGGCAACAGUGCUGGAGCUGUCGGCAAGGGGGCUGGGAAGCUGUCCGGAUUUCCACCUGUGAAUGGCAAAUCGUAGAAUCAAAGACUUGUAGAAUGGCCUGGGUUGAAAAGGACCUUGAAGAUCAUCUAGUUUCCACCCCCCUGCAAUGUGCAGGGUUACCAGCCACCAGUCCGGGCUGCCCAGAGCCACAUCCAGCCUGGCCUUGAAUGCCUCCGGGGAUGGGGCAUCCACCACCUCUCGGCAGGCUGUUCCGGUGCGUCACCAGCCUCCGUGGAGUGAAGAACUCCCCCUAAUAUCUAACCAAAUUCUUCCCCCCUUUCUCAGUUGCAAACCAUUCCCCCUUGUCGUAUCACUGUCCACCCUCGUAUAAACAGCCGUUUCCCCUCCAGUUUAUUUCUUCCCUUCAAGCAUUGGAAGGCCGCAGUGAGGUCUCCCUGGAGCCUUCUCCUCUCCAAACUAAACAAGCCCAGUUCCAUCAACCUUUCUUCACAGGAGAGGUGCUCCAGCCCUCUGAUCAUCUUUGUGGCCCUCCUCUGGACUUGAUCCAACAGGUCUGCGUCUUUCCUGUACUGGGGGCCCCAGGCCUGGACGCAGAGUAUCCCAGAUAAAAAUAAAGAGAAUUGGCGUUCUUU
Molecule: long non-coding RNA, 2048 nt
Filed under: Gallus gallus (chicken)
Lineage: Eukaryota; Metazoa; Chordata; Aves; Galliformes; Phasianidae
Description: lncRNA (ENSGALG00010005973.1)
Source: RNAcentral